This 1149-nucleotide long non-coding RNA is filed under the name Homo sapiens (human). Its description in RNAcentral is "non-protein coding lnc-RFC5-3:2". The record is from RNAcentral. Lineage: Eukaryota; Metazoa; Chordata; Mammalia; Primates; Hominidae.
AAUAACUGAGAACUGUGGAAGUGAAGACACCAAGGCAAAUAUUGGUUUGCAUUGUGUGCACACACACCAACAUGCACACACACACAACAUGCAGACCCUCACACCAACAUGCACACACCCUCACACCAACAUGCACACACGCUCACACCAACGUGCACACACAACAUGCACACACUCUCACACCAACAUGCACGCACACACACCAACAGUACGCACUCUCACAUCAACAUGCACACACGCUCACAUCAACAUGCACACACACCAACAGGCACACACUCUCACACCAACAUGCACACACCCUCACACCAACAUGCACACACACCAACCUGCACACACCCUCACACCAACAUGCACACACGCCAACAUGCAACAUACCAUACACACAACAUGCACACACCCUCACACCAACAUGCACACAUACACACCAGCAUGCACACACCCUCACACCAACAUGCACACACACCACUGUGCACCCAUACCAACAUGCACACAUACACACCAAAAUGCACACACACCAACAUGCACACUCAAACCAACAUGCACACAUACACCAACAUGCACACUCACAUCAACAUGCACACACCCUUACACCAAUAUGCACACAUACACCAACGUGCACUCACGCCAACAUGCACACUCACACCAACAUGCACACACCUUUACACCAAUAUGCACACAUACACCAACAUGCACACUCACACCAACAUGCACACUCACACCAACAGGCACACACACCAACAUGCACACUCACACCAACAUGCACACUCACACCAACAUGCACACACAUGCACAUACAACAUGCACACUCACACCAACAUGCACACACACCAACAUGCACACUCACACCAACAUGCACACUCACACCAACAUGCACACACAACAUGCACACACACCAACAUGCACACACAACAUGCACACUCAACCAACAUGCACACACACCAACAUGCACACAUACAUCAACAUGCACACUCACACCAACAUGCACACAUACACCAUACACACACACACCAAUAUGCACACUCAAAACACUCACACCAAUAUGCACACACUCAUACCAACAGGCACACACACACCAACAUGCACACAUACACACCAAUAUGCACACACUUAUACCAACAUGCAUACACACACCCAACGUGCACACACACA